This 250-nucleotide ribosomal RNA is filed under the name uncultured bacterium. Its description in RNAcentral is "partial 16S ribosomal RNA". It matches the Rfam family "Bacterial small subunit ribosomal RNA", at positions 524 to 774 of the family's 1533-position model. The record is from RNAcentral.
UACGUAGGGGGCGAGCGUUAUCCGGAAUUACUGGGCGUAAAGGGUGCGUAGGCGGCCUUUUAAGUCAGAUGUGAAAGGCUACGGCUUAACCGUAGUUAGCAUUUGAAACUAAAAGGCUUGAGUGCAGGAGAGGAGAGUGGAAUUCCUAGUGUAGCGGUGAAAUGCGUAGAUAUUAGGAGGAACACCAGUGGCGAAGGCGACUCUCUGGACUGCAACUGACGCUGAGGCACGAAAGCGUGGGGAGCGAACA